Molecule: ribosomal RNA, 1212 nt
Filed under: Haloterrigena sp.
Lineage: Archaea; Methanobacteriati; Methanobacteriota; Halobacteria; Halobacteriales; Natrialbaceae
Description: bacterial SSU rRNA
Rfam family: Archaeal small subunit ribosomal RNA
Source: RNAcentral
CGUUCUUGGGAGUCGGAUUUAGCCAUGCUAGUUGCACGGGUUGAGACCCGUAGCAGAUAGCUCAGUAACACGUGGCCAAACUACCCUAUGGAUCCGAAUAACCUCGGGAAACUGAGGCUAAUUCGGAAUACGAUUCCCACGCUGGAACUGCGGGGAAUCCGAAACGUUACGGCGCCAUAGGAUGUGGCUGCGGCCGAUUAGGUAGACGGUGGGGUAACGGCCCACCGUGCCGAUAAUCGGUACGGGUUGUGAGAGCAAGAGCCCGGAGACGGUAUCUGAGACAAGAUACCGGGCCCUACGGGGCGCAGCAGGCGCGAAACCUUUACACUGCACGCGAGUGCGAUAAGGGGACUCCAAGUGCGAGGGCAUAUCGUCCUCGCUUUUCGCGACCGUAAGGUGGUCGCAGAAUAAGUGCUGGGCAAGACCGGUGCCAGCCGCCGCGGUAAUACCGGCAGCACGAGUGAUGACCGCUAUUAUUGGGCCUAAAGCGUCCGUAGCUGGCCGUGCAAGUCCAUCGGGAAAUCCGCGUGCUUAACGCGCGGGCGUCCGGUGGAAACUGUACGGCUUGGGACCGGAAGAUCCAGAGGGUACGUCCGGGGUAGGAGUGAAAUCCCGUAAUCCUGGACGGACCACCGGUGGCGAAAGCGCUCUGGAAAGACGGAUCCGACGGUGAGGGACGAAAGCUCGGGUCACGAACCGGAUUAGAUACCCGGGUAGUCCGAGCUGUAAACGAUGUCUGCUAGGUGUGGCACAGGCUACGAGCCUGUGCUGUGCCGUAGGGAAGCCGUGAAGCAGACCGCCUGGGAAGUACGUCCGCAAGGAUGAAACUUAAAGGAAUUGGCGGGGGAGCACUACAACCGGAGGAGCCUGCGGUUUAAUUGGACUCAACGCCGGACAUCUCACCAGCAUCGACAACGUGCCGUGAAAGGUCAGUGUGAUGAGCUUACUGGAGCCGUUGAGAGGAGGUGCAUGGGCCGCCGUCAGCUCGUACCGUGAGGCGUCCUGUUAAGUCAGCAACGAGCGAGACCCGCACUCCUAAUUGCCAGCAACACCCUUGGCGGUGGUUGGGUACAUUAGGAGGACUGCAGUGCAAACUGAGGAAAGGACGGCACGGUUAGGUCAGUAUGCCCGGAUGUGCUGGCGACCGCGGGCUACAUGCAGACAGUGGGAUGCACCCCGAAAGGGGGCCGCUUAUUCUCCGAACUUGUCGUA